GACGGAGGAUGCAAGCGUUAUCCGGAAUCAUUGGGCGUAAAGCGUCUGUAGGUGGUUUAUUAAGUCAACUGUUAAAUCUUGAGGCUCAACCUCAAAAUCGCAGUCGAAACUAUUAGGCUAGAGUAUAGUAGGGGUAAAGGGAAUUUCCAGUGGAGCGGUGAAAUGCGUAGAGAUUGGAAAGAACACCGAUGGCGAAGGCAGGUCUCUGGGCAUUAACUGACGCUGAGGAGCGAAAGCAUGGGGAGCGAACAGG
RNAcentral lists this ribosomal RNA (253 nucleotides) under uncultured bacterium. RNAcentral's name for it is "partial 16S ribosomal RNA". It matches the Rfam family "Bacterial small subunit ribosomal RNA", at positions 524 to 776 of the family's 1533-position model. The record is from RNAcentral.